UUCGAUUAAGCCAUGCGAGUCGCGAGUCUUAGGGACUCGGCGUACCGCUCAGUAACACGUGGGUAACCUGCCCUAUGCUGGGGAAUAACCUCGGGAAACUGAGAAUAAUGCCCCAUAGUUCACCACGCCUGGAACGGUGGGUGGAUCAAAGCUCCGGCGGCAUAGGAUGGGCCUGCGGCGUAUCAGGUCGUAGGGGGUGUAAUGUACCCUCUAGCCAUCGACGCGUACGGGUGUUGGGAGACAUUGCCCGGAGAUGGAUUCUGAGACACGAAUCCAGACCCUACGGGGUGCAGCAGGCGCGAAAACUUGGCAAUGCGAGAAAUCGUGACAGGGAACUCCAAGUGCAUCGGGUAAGACCGAUGCUUUUCUUGACUCUUCAACGGUCUUGGAAUAAGGGGUGGGUAAGGACGGUGCCAGCCGCCGCGGUAAUACCGGCGCCUCAAGUGGUAGUCGCUUUUAUUGGGCCUAAAACGUCCGUAGCCGGUUUGGUACAUUCGUGGGUAAAUCAAGGCGCUCAACGUCUUGAAUUCUGCGAGCACGGCCAGACUUGGGACCGGGUGAGGUGUGGGGUACUCUCAGGGUAGGGGUAAAAUCCUGUCAUCCUGAGAGGACCACCUGUUGCGAAGGCGCCACACUAGAACGGAUCCGACGGUCAGGGACGAAGCCUAGGGGCACGAACCGGAUUAGAUACCCGGGUAGUCCUAGGUGUAAACGCUGUGGACUUGAUGUUGGGAGUGCUCCGAGCACCCUCAGUGUCGAAGCGAAGGUGAUAAGUCCACUGCCUGGGGAGUACGGUCGCAAGGCUGAAACUUAAAGGAAUUGGCGGGGGAGCACUGCAACCUGAGGAUUGUGCG
RNAcentral lists this ribosomal RNA (854 nucleotides) under uncultured archaeon. Its description in RNAcentral is "bacterial SSU rRNA". It matches the Rfam family "Archaeal small subunit ribosomal RNA", at positions 39 to 899 of the family's 1478-position model. The record is from RNAcentral.